Molecule: unclassified non-coding RNA, 422 nt
Filed under: Bombus terrestris (buff-tailed bumblebee)
Lineage: Eukaryota; Metazoa; Arthropoda; Insecta; Hymenoptera; Apidae
Description: misc RNA ENSBTSG00005025731.1
Source: RNAcentral
AUCUAGUAAUCGCCAUUUGAUUAAAGAAGUCAGGAAAGUUGGGUCAGAACUCGAGGUGAAAUUUCACGAAUUCUCAUAAUGAGAACAUUUAUUAAAAAACUGACUCAAAUCCGUUAAAAACAAAUCUCUUCGAAAACACAGAGCGUUCUCUGAUUCUACGAUUUUUCGAAAUUUGAGUCAAUCUAGUUCAUUGUAAAAUAGGCCACGGUACCAGGAAAAACUCUGAGGACGACAGCAAAACAAAAUGGUGGAUAAACAAUCAUGCCAAUGACAUUUCCAAAAACAUGAGUUUCCUUUCAGCAAACAUUGUAUUUGCUAAGAAAUAUAUGAGUACUACGGGCUAUUGUAACAAAUUAACGGUAUCAUUUAUCGAUAUGACUAUUUGAGUACUUCAUACAAUUCAGAGAUGGCAUUGCUAACAC